This 497-nucleotide ribosomal RNA is filed under the name uncultured bacterium. RNAcentral's name for it is "partial 16S ribosomal RNA". It matches the Rfam family "Bacterial small subunit ribosomal RNA", at positions 28 to 507 of the family's 1533-position model. The record is from RNAcentral.
GAUGAACGCUGGCGGCGUGCCUAAUGCAUGCAAGUCGAGCGAACGGACGAGAAGCUUGCUUCUCUGAUGUUAGCGGCGGACGGGUGAGUAACACGUGGAUAACCUACCUAUAAGACUGGGAUAACUUCGGGAAACCGGAGCUAAUACCGGAUAAUAUUAUGAACCGCAUGGUUCAAAAGUGAAAGACGGUCUUGCUGUCACUUAUAGAUGGAUCCGCGCUGCAUUAGCUAGUUGGUAAGGUAACGGCUUACCAAGGCAACGAUGCAUAGCCGACCUGAGAGGGUGAUCGGCCACACUGGAACUGAGACACGGUCCAGACUCCUACGGGAGGCAGCAGUAGGGAAUCUUCCGCAAUGGGCGAAAGCCUGACGGAGCAACGCCGCGUGAGUGAUGAAGGUCUUCGGAUCGUAAAACUCUGUUAUUAGGGAAGAACAUAUGUGUAAGUAACUGUGCACAUCUUGACGGUACCUAAUCAGAAAGCCACGGCUAACUACGUG